Long non-coding RNA from Hemicordylus capensis (graceful crag lizard), 413 nucleotides. RefSeq lists it as uncharacterized. The transcript is spliced from 3 exons. The record is from RefSeq and is a predicted model, not a curated record. NCBI's taxonomy places the organism in Eukaryota, Metazoa, Chordata, Lepidosauria, Squamata, Cordylidae.
AGCCUGAACUCGAGUAGGCUGCAAGCAAGGAAGGAAGGGAGGAGAAAGCAGGCAGCAGACCCUCUGCCCAGACCAGACCAUCCAGAACAGCUAUUGCUAGAAGCAGCACAUCAAUUCUGAAUGGUAUGCAUUAGCACCUGAAUACUUGAACAAUGGAAAUGCUUUAAAGGGGUGCUGUGAGCAACUGUGAGAAUCUCCAUGAUAGGUACUUUUUGAAGUCACCAUAACUCCACGCAUGCAUGGCUUGGCUAUGAGCCUUGUACAGUCCUGCAAGGAUUGUGUAUGGGCCACUGUGAUGUGUUAAUCUGCCCUAAACAACAGGUAUGGACAGAUACUUCAUUUUAACCAUUGGAUUUAGCCAUCACACCUGCCUAAGGGAGGAACAUCUGUUCUUAUGCCCUCCCAUGCUGGUA